GAUGAACGCUGGCGGCGUGCUUAACACAUGCAAGUCGAACGAGAAAUGGAGACGGACACCUUCGGGCGGAAGGCUUCAUUUCGAGUGGCGGACGGGUGAGUAACGCGUGGGUAACCUGCCUCAUACAGGGGGAUAACAGUUUGAAACGACUGUUAAUACCGCAUAAGACCACAGCACCGCAUGGUGCGGGGGUAAAAACUCCGGUGGUAUGAGAUGGACCCGCGUUCGAUUAGCCAGUUGGCGGGGUAACGGCCCACCAAAGCGACGAUCGAUAGCCGAUCUGAGAGGAUGACCGGCCACAUUGGGACUGAGACACGGCCCAAACUCCUACGGGAGGCAGCAGUGGGGAAUAUUGCACAAUGGGGGAAACCCUGAUGCAGCGACGCCGCGUGAGUGAAGAAGUACUUCGGUAUGUAAAGCUCUAUCAGCAGGGAAGAAAAUGACGGUACCUGAGUAAGAAGCCCCGGCUAACUACGUG
Molecule: ribosomal RNA, 478 nt
Filed under: uncultured bacterium
Lineage: Bacteria
Description: partial 16S ribosomal RNA
Rfam family: Bacterial small subunit ribosomal RNA
Source: RNAcentral